GGAGGGAUGUGUGAGCGGUUGAAACAGCAGGUCUCGAAAACCUGUAGGGGUCACACCCUCGUGGGUUCGAAUCCCACUCCCUCCG
This 85-nucleotide transfer RNA is filed under the name Elusimicrobia bacterium RIFOXYB2_FULL_62_6. Its description in RNAcentral is "tRNA-Ser". It matches the Rfam family "tRNA". Rfam says of the family: Transfer RNA (tRNA) molecules are approximately 80 nucleotides in length. Their secondary structure includes four short double-helical elements and three loops (D, anti-codon, and T loops). The record is from RNAcentral. Lineage: Bacteria; Pseudomonadati; Elusimicrobiota.